AUGAGCACUGUGUUCUCACCAAACCAGGUGAAGCAUAAACAACAAUCAAGGUUUCAUUUGUUUUUGUUGUUUAUUUUGCAGGUUCGGUGUCUAGACUUCAACAAUUUUGGAUCAAUAACAAUUCCACCAGCACUACCCAGGGUUUGUUUCUGGAAAGGACAAACCAUUAAACAUUUCAGUGAUAUGCUAAUUGGGAAAGAUGGACUCUAUGAAGCUCUUCAAAUAAAAGAUGAGGCAGAAACUUGUUAUGCAGAAACUGACGGUGCAUGGGCAAGCACCGCCAAGAACUCAAACAUCCGAAAAGCUAUACAAAGGGUCUUAGGGAACUCUUUUUCAGAUAAGAUCAAAGAAGAUAUAUUCCUCAAUUUCCAGGAGCGCGUAAAAGAUCAAAACCGGACGACAUGUCUCAUAGCAAAACAAGUGUUGCUGGAUACUUUGAACAUUGUGUCUUCUUCUUUUAAUGUCUCUCAACAUACAGAGAAGUUAGAGUCAUCCGAGCACUUGUACAUGCCAUCCGAUGAAGAUAUUGGGUCUGGCAGUACUAUUAGAGUUGAUUCUAAUGGGAUUGAAAUUGGCAGUGAUCGAAGAGGCAGGAAGAAGAGAAUGAAGACGAGUUCACAGCAGUCAAUAACUUCAACAAGUAAGGAUGUAUUGUUGCAAGAUAAAACAAAGCAAAGCACACCUGAAGUUGACAAACAAGGAGUCAAAGCUGAAUUGCAACCAAUACCGUGGAAUGGUCCUAUUAAUGAGCACAAAGAUCAAGAUGAAAUGGAAGUAAAUUUUGAAAUUGGUAAAGGAUGUACACAUACAGUUGGACAAUCAGUGCGUGCUGAAUGCAUUGCACUGCAACAAGAAGCCCACAAGGGAGAAAGCAUGAACAAGGUUGGCCCUCCUAAACACAACCAAGACACAAAUAUGUUGGACGGACAUAGCAACAUCCUCGAGAGCAGUGUCAAUGCUUGUCCUAUUGAAAUAGAAGCACCAGAGAAAACCACUAGCCUGAACUACAUGCUAUUAUUAGCUAGAUUGGCAAAAGCAGUGAUGGGCACGACACAAGUUAACAAUUCAAAGGAAGUAUCCACGAGAGAUGUACGGACAAGAUUUUCAGGGUUUCAACAUAACAUUGUUAACAACAAUAAAACACAGCAUUGCAUAGACACUAGUACCAUGGAGCAAUGA
This 1179-nucleotide ribosomal RNA is filed under the name Triticum aestivum (bread wheat). RNAcentral's name for it is "partial small subunit ribosomal RNA". The record is from RNAcentral. Lineage: Eukaryota; Viridiplantae; Streptophyta; Magnoliopsida; Poales; Poaceae.